UCACCGGCGAGGGCAACUGCACAUCUCCGGCAAGAGCAAUUCCGGACUGUCCGUUUGCGUAGAUGCUGUUACCAAGGAAUGAAUCGUUUUUGCUGGUGUCGCUAAGAAAGAUGCCGUUGCUUUUGUUGAACGCGAUCACAUUACCUGCACCGCUGGUUGUGCCACCGAUCAGAUUUCCGUCGGAAUGUUGUUGCACCGAAACCCCGUUGGUGUUGCCCAGCCCACCAAUGCCGCUGGCGUCCAGUCCG
Molecule: ribosomal RNA, 248 nt
Filed under: uncultured bacterium
Lineage: Bacteria
Description: partial 16S ribosomal RNA
Source: RNAcentral